Molecule: long non-coding RNA, 226 nt
Filed under: Elaeis guineensis (African oil palm)
Lineage: Eukaryota; Viridiplantae; Streptophyta; Magnoliopsida; Arecales; Arecaceae
Description: long non-coding RNA (EGUI_LNC052529)
Source: RNAcentral
GAAGGCUUCUGGUUUAAGAAGUUUGUCGCGAAACUUGAGAUUAUGACAUCAGAUGCCAUACUACUUUACUGCGAAAAUAGUGGAGCCAUAGCAUUUGCUAAGGAGUUGAGGUCUCAUCAAAAAUCAAAGCACAUCGAGUGACAGUAUCAUAUCAUACACGAUGAAUAUAUAAAUUUGGGUCUCAAUGAGCCCUUAUAGUAGAUGUUGGCGAUAGUUGGUCCACUGU